This 459-nucleotide ribosomal RNA is filed under the name uncultured bacterium. RNAcentral's name for it is "partial 16S ribosomal RNA". It matches the Rfam family "Bacterial small subunit ribosomal RNA", at positions 338 to 795 of the family's 1533-position model. The record is from RNAcentral.
CCUACGGGUGGCAGCAGUGAGGAAUAUUGGUCAAUGGUCGGGAGACUGAACCAGCCAAGCCGCGUGAGGGAUGAAGGUACAGAGUAUCGUAAACCUCUUUUGUCAGGGAACAAAGGCGGGGACGUGUCCCCGGAUGAGUGUACCUGAAGAAAAAGCAUCGGCUAACUCCGUGCCAGCAGCCACGGUAAUACGGAGGAUGCGAGCGUUAUGUGGAUUUAUUGGGUUAAAGGGGGGCGCAGGCGGUCUGUUAAGUCAGCGGUAAAAGCCCGGGGCCCAACCCCGGCCCGCCGUUGAAACUGGCAGUCUCGAGUUGGAGAGAAGUAUGCGGAAUGCGCGGUGUAGCGGUGAAAUGCAUAGAGAUAGCGCAGAACGCCGAUGGCGAAGGCAGCAUGCCGGCUCCACACUGACGCUGAGGCACGAAAGCGUGGGUAUCGAACAGGAUUAGAUACCCCGGUAGUC